GCCAUCUGGGGCUGCCCGGGACGCUGCAGGCAGAAGACGGCCUGCGUCCCUGAAGUUUGAUCAUUUCCAAGGCCAGUAACUACAAUGGUUCUCCCACACCUGGAAGCUAAUGAGUAAUGAGCACUAUUAAGGCUUAUUUCAAAUGUAGAAAACCUUGAGAUAAUGCACUAAAUUGUUCAGAAGGUUGUUUUCUUAGCACCUGCUGGAAUACUACAGGAUUUUCUUUAACAUCAUUGCCGGAGUUCCUGCCUUCAUCCCAGUGCCGGUGAAAACGAGGGUGGAAGAAUUUCCAGUGUUGCUGAAAACCGGACGAGACUUCGGAUCAAGCUAGCUGCCUGCAGAACUUACCUGGACUGUGAUUUAAGCUAGCUGCCUGCAGAACUUACCUGGACUGUGAUUUACCUGGACUGUGAGUUAAUCUAUUGAGACACUGCUUUACCUGGACUGAGACAAACUGUAAUCUACAACAAAUUGUAACUCGGUAUCUUUGCUAACAGCGUUAUUGCUUGUAUAAUUUUUCCAAGGACUUCUUGCAUGGAGCCAUUAAUUGGCUUGGUAUCCUCCCUUUCUUUUUGUAGCAGGUUAUUUAUGGUGUUUCUGUAAAAACCACUAUGGUCCUUAUUUAAAUUAAACAAAAAGGGGAAAUGUUAGAGUCUGUAAACAAGUCAAAAAUAACACCUGGCAUUUUGCCAGGGGAAUGUUAGCGUUCAUAAACAAGUCUGGAUGGUGCCUGGCAAAAUGCCAGAGGGAGUGGUUUGAGAAGUAACAAAAGCGAGCCAUUAAGUGUGGAGAUUCCUUAUUGGUUGACUGAUGUAUCUAGUUUAUGCUAAUUAGAUAAGCUGUGUAGAAUGUAUAAAUACUGCUCCUGUCCUGCAAUAAACGGCUCCUACUCCUGCUGUAUCAAUGCACACAAGUUGUCCGUCACCCCCCGGUUAUUUUGCUGCAGCCGGACUGCGGCACAUUUUUACAUUAUAAAAUUAC
RNAcentral lists this long non-coding RNA (981 nucleotides) under Marmota monax (woodchuck). Lineage: Eukaryota; Metazoa; Chordata; Mammalia; Rodentia; Sciuridae. The record is from RNAcentral.